UUACCCGCUGAAUUUAAGCAUAUCAAUAAGCGGAGGAAAAGAAAAUAACAAUGAUUCCCUUAGUAACGGCGAGUGAAGCGGGAAGAGCCCAGCACCGAAUCCCCCGGCCGUGUGGUCGACGGGACCUGUGGUGUUUGGGAGUGUCUUUGGUGCGCUGGCGCGGUGUUUGAGUCCUCCUGAUCGGGGCUUGUUCCCAGAGCGGGUGUAAGGCCUCUACUGCACUAAGCCGCGUGUCUCUGGCGCUCUCUGGAGUCGGGUUGUUUGAGAAUGCAGCCCAAAGUUGGAGGUAAACUCCUCCUAAGGCUAAAUACGGGCGCGAGUCCGAUAGCGAACAAGUACGGUGACGGAAAGUUGAAAAGCACUUUGAAGAGAGAGUUGGAAAGUACGUGAAACCGUUUACAGGUAAACGGAUAGGACCGCAAUGUCGGCGGCGGGGAUUCAAGUCUGCGGCGUGCCCCACUCGGAGUCUGGCGACACGGUUGCGUGCGUUGGUACUGAGUGUGUGUGUGCGUUGGGGGCUGCACUUUCCCGCUCGCUGAGCGCUACGACCGUUUGACUGGCAGCCGGAAGUCCUCGACCAUAGGUAGUCCGCAUUUGCUCGCAAGGGUACGUGCGGGAACUUAUAGGGUCGGGUGAUACUGGCCUGCUGGGCGAGCGAGGAACUUGGGCCGCGCGGAGCGGGCGCAUUGUCGCUGGUCGACGUUCGACUGCCGAGGACUGCUUGCAGUGCUUGGCGACUGCGUUUGGCUAGGUCAGGCAGGCGUCUGCCCGUGCCACUGGGUCAGUGGCGUACUGUCGGCACCCUAUCCGACCCGUCUUGAAACACGGACCAAGGAGUCUAACAUGUGCGCGAGUCAAAGGGCGUUACUAAACCCCAGGGCGAAAUGAAAGUGAACGUAGGUGCGAUCCGGGUCGUCUUGCGGCUUGGCGCAGCACCGCCCCGUCGCGAGGCCUUUUUGUU
Molecule: ribosomal RNA, 961 nt
Filed under: Protolaeospira eximia
Lineage: Eukaryota; Metazoa; Annelida; Polychaeta; Sabellida; Serpulidae
Description: eukaryotic LSU rRNA
Rfam family: Eukaryotic large subunit ribosomal RNA
Source: RNAcentral